This 331-nucleotide ribosomal RNA is filed under the name uncultured eukaryote. Its description in RNAcentral is "partial 18S ribosomal RNA". It matches the Rfam family "Eukaryotic small subunit ribosomal RNA", at positions 1470 to 1796 of the family's 1831-position model. The record is from RNAcentral.
CCCUUAGAUGUUCUGGGCCGCACGCGCGCUACACUGUUCGACGCAGCGAGUCUUAACCUUGACCGAAAGGUUUGGGUAAUCUUCAGCAAAGUCGAACGUGAUGGGGAUCGAUCAUUGCAAUUAUUGAUCGUGAACGAGGAAUUCCUAGUAAGUGCAAGUCAUCAGCUUGCGCUGAUUACGUCCCUGCCCUUUGUACACAACGCCCGUCGCUACUACCGAUUGAAUGGUUUAGUGAGAUCUCUGGAUUGACGCUGGCUAGGGGGCGACCCUUGGCCAGACUGUUGAGAAACUGCUCAAACUUGAUCAUUUAGAGGAAGUAAAAGUCGUAACA